Molecule: ribosomal RNA, 600 nt
Filed under: uncultured bacterium
Lineage: Bacteria
Description: bacterial SSU rRNA
Rfam family: Bacterial small subunit ribosomal RNA
Source: RNAcentral
CCUAAACGAUGAAUGCUAGUCGUCGGAAAGCUCGUCUUUUCGGUGAUGCAGUUAACACAUUAAGCAUUCCGCCUGGGGAGUACGGUCGCAAGAUUAAAACUCAAAGGAAUAGACGGGGACCCGCACAAGUGGUGGAGCAUGUGGUUUAAUUCGAAGAUACGCGAAGAACCUUACCAAGCCUUGACAUUGAUUGAAUCCCGUAGAGAUACAGGAGUGCCAUUUCGGUGGAACAUGAAAACAGGUGCUGCACGGCUGUCGUCAGCUCGUGUCGUGAGAUGUUGGGUUAAGUCCCGCAACGAGCGCAACCCUCGUCGUUAGUUGCUAACAGUUCGGCUGAGCACUCUAGCGAGACUGCCUUCGCAAGGAGGAGGAAGGUGAGGACGACGUCAAGUCAUCAUGGCCCUUAUGGCUUGGGCUACACACGUGCUACAAUGGGGCGUACAGAGAGUUGCGAUACCGCGAGGUGGAGCUAAUCUCAUAAAGCGUCUCUCAGUUCGGAUAGAACUCUGCAACUCGAGUUCUUGAAGCUGGAAUCACUAGUAAUCGUAGAUCAGCAAUGCUACGGUGAAUACGUUCCCGGGUCUUGUACUCACCGCCCGU